Transfer RNA from Volvox carteri f. nagariensis, 72 nucleotides. It matches the Rfam family "tRNA". Rfam says of the family: Transfer RNA (tRNA) molecules are approximately 80 nucleotides in length. Their secondary structure includes four short double-helical elements and three loops (D, anti-codon, and T loops). The record is from Rfam. NCBI's taxonomy places the organism in Eukaryota, Viridiplantae, Chlorophyta, Chlorophyceae, Chlamydomonadales, Volvocaceae.
GGGAGUUUGGUCUAGUGGUAUGAUUCUCGCUUAGGGUGCGAGAGGUUGUGGGUUCAAUUCCCGCAACUCCCC